Molecule: ribosomal RNA, 435 nt
Filed under: uncultured bacterium
Lineage: Bacteria
Description: partial 16S ribosomal RNA
Rfam family: Bacterial small subunit ribosomal RNA
Source: RNAcentral
GAUGAACGCUGGCGGUAUGCUUAACACAUGCAAGUCGAACGGACUCUUCGGAGUUAGUGGCGGACGGGUGAGUAACGCGUGAGAAUCUGGCUUUGGGUUCGGGACAACCACUGGAAACGGUGGCUAAUACCGGAUGUGCCGAGAGGUAAAAGAGAAAUUGCCUGAAGAUGAGCUCGCGUCUGAUUAGCUAGUUGGUGAGGUAAAGGCUCACCAAGGCAGCGAUCAGUAGCUGGUCUGAGAGGAUGACCAGCCACACUGGGACUGAGACACGGCCCAGACUCCUACGGGAGGCAGCAGUGAGGAAUUAUCCGCAAUGGGCGAAAGCCUGACGGAGCAAUACCGCGUGAGGGAAGAAGGCUCUUGGGUUGUAAACCUCUUUUCUUAGGGAAGAACAAAAUGACGGUACCUAAGGAAGCAGCAUCGGCUAACUCCGUG